Molecule: long non-coding RNA, 472 nt
Organism: Manis javanica (Malayan pangolin)
Lineage: Eukaryota; Metazoa; Chordata; Mammalia; Pholidota; Manidae
Source: RefSeq, a predicted model, not a curated record
CUACCUACAUGAAGCCUUCUUGCUUUCCUCCCUUUGGAAGAAAUAAAUUCUUCCUGGAAAUGUGUUGAGAUGCUUAGAGUCUCGAUUAGAAGCAAGGAUUUGGACCCACAGGGUAUUUUGAUGCAAGUCUUCAGCAAUUGAUUGUUUCCCCAGUCAAGCUGCUGGUAAAUAUAUUGGACAGUGAAGGGAUUGGAACACAGCCAUGGAACACAUUGUAAGAGGGUCUCACCAGGCUGCAAUCCAGCUGUUGACUGGGACUAUGGCCUCACCUGAUGUUCAGAGUCCUCUUCUAAGCUCGGCUGGUUGUUGGAAGAAUUCAGUUCCUCAUGGAUGCUGGACUGAGGUCCCUCGGCUCCUGGAGUCCACCUAGCUCCUGGCCAGAAGGUCCCCUCCACAGUCCCUCUCACAAGAUACAGCUUCCUUUUUUGAGCCAGCAAGGAAUAGAAGACUUUGGUGGUAUGAGGGCCCAGUA